This 291-nucleotide unclassified non-coding RNA is filed under the name Glomus sp. Its description in RNAcentral is "partial contains 5.8S ribosomal RNA and internal transcribed spacer 2". The stretch from base 1 to 71 matches the Rfam family "5.8S ribosomal RNA", at positions 84 to 154 of the family's 154-position model. The record is from RNAcentral. Lineage: Eukaryota; Fungi; Glomeromycota; Glomeromycetes; Glomerales; Glomeraceae.
GUGAAUCAUCGAAUUUUUGAACGCAAAUUGCACUUUCUGGGAUUCCGGUAAGUAUGCCUGUUUGAGGUUCAGUUAAAUAAAAAUCGGGGUUGUUGCUGCCUUUCGUGGUGACGCGUCGGAAUUUGUUCGUCUUACCUUCGGGUAAGUGACUUAAAAUGUUUGCAUGAUUUUCUUACGUAUUUAAAUCGCUUACGUACGUUUUAUAUAUCGAAUUCAUAUUAGGUUCGGUCAUUCCCAUGAUUCUCGCCUAUAAUUUUUCAUUAAAUGACCUCAAAUCAGGUAAGAUUACCC